RNAcentral lists this transfer RNA (69 nucleotides) under Marmota monax (woodchuck). It matches the Rfam family "tRNA". From Rfam's summary of the family: Transfer RNA (tRNA) molecules are approximately 80 nucleotides in length. Their secondary structure includes four short double-helical elements and three loops (D, anti-codon, and T loops). Lineage: Eukaryota; Metazoa; Chordata; Mammalia; Rodentia; Sciuridae. The record is from Rfam by way of RNAcentral.
GGUGUCGUGGCUGAGGGGUAGAGCGCUCACCUAGCAUGUGUGAGGCCCUGGGUUCGAUCCUCAGCACCA